AGAGUUUGAUCCUGGCUCAGAGCGAACGCUGGCGGCAGGCUUAACACAUGCAAGUCGAACGGUCCGUUCGGGAUAGUGGCGGACGGGUGAGUAACACGUGGGAACGUACCCUUAGGUUCGGAACAACACAGGGAAACUUGUGCUAAUACCGGAUAACGCCCGUUCGGGGGAAAGUAUUUAUCGUCCUUUGGAGCGGCCCGCGUCUGAUUAGCUUGUUGGUGAGGUAAUGGCUCACCAAGGCUACGAUCAGUAGCUGGUCUGAGAGGAUGGCCAGCCACACUGGGACUGAGACACGGCCCAGACUCCUACGGGAGGCAGCAGUGGGGAAUCUUGCGCAAUGGGCGAAAGCCUGACGCAGCCAUGCCGCGUGGAUGAUGAAGGUCUUAGGAUUGUAAAAUCCUUUCACCGGGGACGAUAAUGGCGGUACCCGGAGAAGAAGCCCCGGCUAACUUCGUG
This 456-nucleotide ribosomal RNA is filed under the name uncultured Caulobacteraceae bacterium. RNAcentral's name for it is "bacterial SSU rRNA". It matches the Rfam family "Bacterial small subunit ribosomal RNA", at positions 8 to 507 of the family's 1533-position model. Lineage: Bacteria; Pseudomonadati; Pseudomonadota; Alphaproteobacteria; Caulobacterales; Caulobacteraceae. The record is from RNAcentral.